RNAcentral lists this long non-coding RNA (1435 nucleotides) under Salmo salar (Atlantic salmon). RNAcentral's name for it is "lncRNA (ENSSSAG00000095376.1)". The record is from RNAcentral. Lineage: Eukaryota; Metazoa; Chordata; Actinopteri; Salmoniformes; Salmonidae.
UGAACAGAGGCAUCACACAAACACCAUGAGAACAGAGGCAUCACACACACAACACCCUGUGAACAGAGGCAUCACACACAACACCCUGUGAACAGAGGCAUCACACAACACCCUGUGAGCAGAGGCAUCACACACAACACCCUGUGAACAGAGGCAUCACACACAACACCCUGUGAACAGAGACAUCACACACAACACCCUGUGAACAGAGGCAUCACACAACACCCUGUGAAAAGAGGCAUCACACAACACCCUGUGAACAGAGGCAUCAAACACAACACCCUGUGAACAGAGGCAUCACACACAACACCCUGUGACCAGAGGCAUCGCACACAACACCCUGUGAACAGAGGCAUCACACACAACACCCUGUGAGCAGUGGCAUCACACACAACACCCUGUGAACAGAGGCAUCGCACAACAACCUGUGAGCAGAGGCAUCACACAACACCCUGUGAACAGAGGCAUUACACACAAAACACCCUGUGAACAGAGGCAUCACACAACUCCCUGUGAACAGAGGCAUCACACACAACACCCUGUGAACAGAGUCAUCACACAGCACCCUGUGAACAGAGGCAUCACACAACACCCUGUGAGCAGAGGAAUCAAACACAACACCCUGUAAGCAGAGGCAUCACACAACACCCUGUGAACAGAGGCAUCACACACAACACCCUGUGAACAAAGGCAUCACACACAACACCCUGUGAACAGAGGCAUCACACAACACCCUGUGAACAGAGGCAUCACACACAACACCCUGUGAACAGAGGCAUCACACACAACACCCUGUGAACAGAGGCAUCACACAACACCCUGUGAACAGAGGCAUCACACACAACACCCUGUGAGCAGAGGCAUCACACACAACACCCUGUGAACAGAGGCAUCACACACAACACCCUGUGAACAGAGUCAUCACACAACACCCUGUGAACAGAGGCAUCACACACAACACCCUGUGAACAGAGGCAUCACACACAACACCCUGUGAACAGAGGCAUCACACACAACACCCUGUGAACAGAGGCAUCACACAACACCCUGUGAACAGAGGCAUCACACAACACCCUGUGAGCAGAGGCAUCACACACAACACCCUGUGAACAGAGGCAUCAAACACAACACCCUGUGAACAGAGGCAUCAAACACAACACCCUGUGAACAGAGGCAUCACACACAACACCCUGUGAACAGAGGCAUCACACAACACCCUGUGAACAGAGUCAUCACACACAACACCCUGUGAACAGAGGCAUCACACACAACACCCUGUGAGCAGAGGCAUCACACACAACACCCUGUGAACAGAGGCAUCACACACAACACCCUGUGAGCAGAGGCAUCACACAACACCCUGUGAACAGAGGCAUCACACACAACACCCUGUGAACAGAGGCAUCACACAACACCCUGUGAACAGAGGCAUCAC